Molecule: ribosomal RNA, 440 nt
Filed under: uncultured bacterium
Lineage: Bacteria
Description: partial 16S ribosomal RNA
Rfam family: Bacterial small subunit ribosomal RNA
Source: RNAcentral
CCUACGGGUGGCAGCAGUGGGGGAUAUUGCUCAAUGGAGGAAACUCUGAAGCAGCGACGCCGCGUGAGGGAAGACGGUCUUCGGAUUGUAAACCCCUGUCUUUGGGGAAGAAAAUGACGGUACCCAAAGAGUAAGCUCCGGCUAACUACGUGCCAGCAGCCGCGGUAAUACGGAGGGUGCGAGCGUUAAUCGGAAUUACUGGGCGUAAAGCGCUCGUAGGCGGUAUGUCAAGUCAAGGGUGAAAUCCCCGCGCUCAACGUGGGAACUGCCUUUGAAACUGGCAGACUGGAGUGUGUGAGAGGAUAGUGGAAUUCCUGGUGUAGGAGUGAAAUCCGUAGAUAUCAAGAGGAACAUCAGUGGCGAAGGCGACUAACUGGCACAUAACUGACGCUGAGGAGCGAAAGCGUGGGUAGCAAACAGGAUUAGAUACCCCAGUAGUC